RNAcentral lists this ribosomal RNA (1161 nucleotides) under Escherichia coli. Its description in RNAcentral is "partial 23S ribosomal RNA". It matches the Rfam family "Bacterial large subunit ribosomal RNA", at positions 1 to 1194 of the family's 2925-position model. RNAcentral also lists the same sequence under 1 other name. Lineage: Bacteria; Pseudomonadati; Pseudomonadota; Gammaproteobacteria; Enterobacterales; Enterobacteriaceae. The record is from RNAcentral.
GGGUUGUGAGGUUAAGCGACUAAGCGUACACGGUGGAUGCCCUGGCAGUCAGAGGCGAUGAAGGACGUGCUAAUCUGCGAUAAGCGUCGGUAAGGUGAUAUGAACCGUUAUAACCGGCGAUUUCCGAAUGGGGAAACCCAGUGUGAUUCGUCACACUAUCAUUAACUGAAUCCAUAGGUUAAUGAGGCGAACCGGGGGAACUGAAACAUCUAAGUACCCCGAGGAAAAGAAAUCAACCGAGAUUCCCCCAGUAGCGGCGAGCGAACGGGGAGCAGCCCAGAGCCUGAAUCAGUGUGUGUGUUAGUGGAAGCGUCUGGAAAGGCGCGCGAUACAGGGUGACAGCCCCGUACACAAAAAUGCACAUGCUGUGAGCUCGAUGAGUAGGGCGGGACACGUGGUAUCCUGUCUGAAUAUGGGGGGACCAUCCUCCAAGGCUAAAUACUCCUGACUGACCGAUAGUGAACCAGUACCGUGAGGGAAAGGCGAAAAGAACCCCGGCGAGGGGAGUGAAAAAGAACCUGAAACCGUGUACGUACAAGCAGUGGGAGCACGCUUAGGCGUGUGACUGCGUACCUUUUGUAUAAUGGGUCAGCGACUUAUAUUCUGUAGCAAGGUUAACCGAAUAGGGGAGCCGAAGGGAAACCGAGUCUUAACUGGGCGUUAAGUUGCAGGGUAUAGACCCGAAACCCGGUGAUCUAGCCAUGGGCAGGUUGAAGGUUGGGUAACACUAACUGGAGGACCGAACCGACUAAUGUUGAAAAAUUAGCGGAUGACUUGUGGCUGGGGGUGAAAGGCCAAUCAAACCGGGAGAUAGCUGGUUCUCCCCGAAAGCUAUUUAGGUAGCGCCUCGUGAAUUCAUCUCCGGGGGUAGAGCACUGUUUCGGCAAGGGGGUCAUCCCGACUUACCAACCCGAUGCAAACUGCGAAUACCGGAGAAUGUUAUCACGGGAGACACACGGCGGGUGCUAACGUCCGUCGUGAAGAGGGAAACAACCCAGACCGCCAGCUAAGGUCCCAAAGUCAUGGUUAAGUGGGAAACGAUGUGGGAAGGCCCAGACAGCCAGGAUGUUGGCUUAGAAGCAGCCAUCAUUUAAAGAAAGCGUAAUAGCUCACUGGUCGAGUCGGCCUGCGCGGAAGAUGUAACGGGGCUAAACCAUGCAC